GAAUUGGUGGAAGGCAGAGGGCUGCCCUUUGGGCAGCGUGAAGCUACGGAGAGAAGGGAAGCGUGAAGCUACGGAGAGAAGGGAAGCGUGAAGCUCGCAGACGCAGGAGAGGAGAUAGACACGGGGAGAAGGGAGACUGACGGGCACAGUGAGAAG
Malus domestica (apple) is the source of this 156-nucleotide long non-coding RNA. RefSeq lists it as uncharacterized. The record is from RefSeq and is a predicted model, not a curated record. NCBI's taxonomy places the organism in Eukaryota, Viridiplantae, Streptophyta, Magnoliopsida, Rosales, Rosaceae.